RNAcentral lists this transfer RNA (77 nucleotides) under Acidobacteriota bacterium. RNAcentral's name for it is "tRNA-Val". It matches the Rfam family "tRNA". From Rfam's summary of the family: Transfer RNA (tRNA) molecules are approximately 80 nucleotides in length. The record is from RNAcentral. RNAcentral also lists the same sequence under 1 other name. Lineage: Bacteria; Pseudomonadati; Acidobacteriota.
GGGCUCGUAGCUCAGUUGGUUAGAGCGCUACCUUGACACGGUAGAGGUCUGGCGUUCGAGUCGCCACGAGCCCACCA